CAAGUCGAACGGAAUCCAUGGUGUAGCAAUACACCGGAAGAUUUAGUGGCGAACGGGUGAGGAUCACGUGAGAAACGUGCCCCAGACUCUGGGAUAACAAUUGGAAACGAUUGCUAAUACCGGAUGACGUCGGAGAAUCGCAUGAUUCACUGACGAAAGAUAUUUCGGUUUGGGAGCGUCUCGCGGCCUAUCAGCUUGUUGGUGGGGUAAUGGCCUACCAAGGCAACGACGGGUAGCUGGUCUGAGAGGAUGAUCAGCCACACUGGGACUGAGACACGGCCCAGACUCCUACGGGAGGCAGCAGUGGGGAAUCUUGCGCAAUGGGCGAAAGCCUGACGCAGCAACGCCGCGUGCGGGAUGAAGGCCUUCGGGCUGUAAACCGCUUUCAGCAGGAACGAAAAUGACGGUACCUGCAGAAGAAGGAGCGGCCAACUACGUGCCAGCAGCCGCGGUGACACGUAGGCUCCAAGCGUUGUCCGGAUUUAUUGGGCGUAAAGAGCUCGUAGGCGGUUGAGUAAGUCGGGUGUGAAAACUCUGAGCUUAACCCGGAGACGCCAUCCGAUACUGCUCUGACUAGAGUUCAGGAGGGGAGUGGGGAAUUCCUAGUGUAGCGGUGAAAUGCGCAGAUAUUAGGAGGAACACCGGUGGCGAAGGCGCCACUCUGGACUGAAACUGACGCUGAGGAGCGGAAGCAUGGGUAGCAAACAGGAUUAGAUACCCCUGGUAGUCCAUGCCGUAAACGGUGGGCACUAGGUGUGGGUUCCAACUAACGGGAUCCGCGCCGUCGCUAACGCAUUAAGUGCCCCGCCUGGGGAGUACGGGCGCAAGACUAAAACUCAAAGGAAUUUGACGG
RNAcentral lists this ribosomal RNA (853 nucleotides) under uncultured bacterium. RNAcentral describes it as "bacterial SSU rRNA". It matches the Rfam family "Bacterial small subunit ribosomal RNA", at positions 58 to 916 of the family's 1533-position model. The record is from RNAcentral.